UAGACAAGGCAUUCUAAACUUGUGUAUGGU
Molecule: non-coding RNA, 30 nt
Filed under: Rattus norvegicus (Norway rat)
Lineage: Eukaryota; Metazoa; Chordata; Mammalia; Rodentia; Muridae
Source: RNAcentral